Molecule: unclassified non-coding RNA, 336 nt
Filed under: soil metagenome
Description: partial contains 5.8S ribosomal RNA, internal transcribed spacer 2, and large subunit ribosomal RNA
Rfam family: 5.8S ribosomal RNA (bases 1-120)
Source: RNAcentral
GAUGAAGAACGUAGCGAAAUGCGAUAAGUAAUGUGAAUUGCAGAAUUCAGUGAAUCAUCGAAUCUUUGAACGCACAUUGCGCCCGCCAGUAUUCUGGCGGGCAUGCCUGUUCGAGCGUCAUUUCAACCAUCAAGCCCCAGGCUUGUGUUGGGGACCUGCGGCUGCCGCAGGCCCUGAAAACCAGUGGCGGGCUCGCUGUCACACCGGGCGUAGUAGUUUUUAUCUCGCUCAGGGCGUGCUGCGGGUUCCGGCCGUUAAAAAGCCUUUUUUACCCAAGGUUGACCUCGGAUCAGGUAGGAAGACCCGCUGAACUUAAGCAUAUCAAUAAGCGGAGGA